Acanthochromis polyacanthus (spiny chromis) is the source of this 593-nucleotide long non-coding RNA. RefSeq lists it as uncharacterized. Lineage: Eukaryota; Metazoa; Chordata; Actinopteri; Pomacentridae. The record is from RefSeq and is a predicted model, not a curated record. The transcript is spliced from 4 exons.
UGAGUGGCUGUAAUCUGUCAGAGAGAAGCUGUGGAGCUCUGUCCUCAGUCCUCAGCUCCCAGUCCUCCAGUGUGACAGAGCUGGACCUGACUAACAACAACCUGCAGGAUUCAGGAGUGUAGAGUCUUUCUGCUGGACUGGAGAGUCCACACUGUAAACUGGAAGCUCUCAGGCUGUCAGGCUGUCUGGUCACAGAGGAAGGCUGUGCUUCUCUGGCCUCAGCUCUGAGCUUCAACACCUCAAAUCUGAGAGAGCUGGACCUGAGCUACAACCAUCCAGGAGACUCAGGAGAGAAGAUGCUGAGAGCUAAAGUGGAGGAUCCACACUGUAGACUGGAAACUCUCAGGGUGACGCCUGCUGGAGUCCGAUGGUUGACACCAGGUCUGAGGAAGUAUUCCUGUCAACUCACAGUCGACACAAACACAGUAAACGGAUGACUGAAACUGUCUGAUAACAGGAAGGUGACAUGUGUGGAGGAGGAUCAGUCAUAUCCUGAUCAUCCAGACAGAUUUAACAACUGGCAGCUGCUGUGUAGAACUGGUCUGAGUGGUCGCUGUUACUGGGAGGUGGAGUGGAGAGGUGAGGUUCAUACA